GUGGACUUUAUUAACUUAAAAUGGAGCAUUAAGAUAAUACAAAACAUAAUGAGCACACACCCGGCCUCUACAUAGUUAGGAUGCACAUAGCCAACAUCAACACACACACACAAAAAUACACCAACAAAUAGCAAAGUCAAAUAAGACCAACUAUACGUAGGCGAGGAAAAAAGAAACACAAAGGAUCAGAUCCGCCAUUAGCAAACUACAUCAAUGACCAUAUCUGCACCCAGGACAUCACAGGAAUGACGAGAUUCUUCAACAGUAACGCCUUCAAGAAGGAAGGAGCUCAAGCUUCGUCGUCACCGGAUUCAACCACUCAAGGUCAGAAUCUAGGUUUUCACCCUGAAGAAUUAGACCGAACAUAUCCGAGCAAUGCCUUCAAGAAGGUAACGAUGUAAAAGCAUCGCCAUUGCCAGGUAUAACCAACCGGGAUCAGACCUAGGCUUCCGCCCCGGAGCUCGAGACUAGGUGCUCGAGAAGCACCACCAUCGAUGCCAAUUAUGUGUUGUCGUCACCACUUUUCCACGAUCCCAGCAGCUGCAUGCGAUGUGAGACCGCAACCACCGCACAACCAUCCCUUUGCAUCAAGCCACCGUCUAUUGUUCGCAGCUCGCCGCCGAAGUUAACCACCGGAUCUGGAGAGAGGAACCCUCACAAAGACCUUCCGAUGGCCACUGCACUCCACAGCAAGUCUGUUGUUGCAUGUCGGGGUGGUCACCACAAGGACAACCAUCAACGGUAAGGCUCACCACCACUGUGACACCGUCUACCACCUCGCCCAAGAGAGUCCUGCAUAGCCUGAACUGCAGCUCGACGAGAGAUCAGCCGAUGGCCGCAUGGUUAAUUAGGCCGGAUCCAGGCGAUAGGCCAGCGCGUCCUAGUGCGGGCUCUGUGGCAGCUUAGGGGCCGUUUGGUUCGAGGGCGAAGUUGGUUGGCUGGUGAUAUCCCCAGCCACCUGGUUAGGGAUAACCACAUCUGAUUGUUUGGUUGAAUGGGAUUAGUUGAGCCAUAUUUUGUUGUUUGGAUGGAAGGAUGAGAAGUGGAUAGAUAGGCUUUUGUAUUAUCUGAGUACUAGUAUCAAACAGACAUAAAAGGGGAGACCAGUAGUGUAUGACAUGGAUUAACACAGAUCAGUAGUAUGUAUCAAAUCGGGGCUGGCUUGCUGAUUCUAUUCGUCGGCUCGGUGCUCCUCCGUGCUAGCUUGAGAGAAAGGGAAAGAUGAAUCAGAUCUAGUACAAAGAGGGAUCGAGAUGUAACUUGCCGCUGGCGCCUCCGUUCUCCGGGUCCUCGAGCGCCCCCAUUCCGAUCCGGGAUCGCCUCAAGCGCCGCCGCUCCGAUCCGGAAUCGCCGCCGCUGCCGUGAGGCGAGAACAGAAAAAAGAGAGGAGCAAAACGCUUCAGCGCGGGUGGGUGGCUGCCCUCGUCCGCCAGUUUCUCGCGGCUAUCGAUAGGCAAGUUUUCG
Molecule: ribosomal RNA, 1464 nt
Filed under: Triticum aestivum (bread wheat)
Lineage: Eukaryota; Viridiplantae; Streptophyta; Magnoliopsida; Poales; Poaceae
Description: partial small subunit ribosomal RNA
Source: RNAcentral